Molecule: ribosomal RNA, 497 nt
Filed under: uncultured bacterium
Lineage: Bacteria
Description: partial 16S ribosomal RNA
Rfam family: Bacterial small subunit ribosomal RNA
Source: RNAcentral
GACGAACGCUGGCGGCGUGCCUAAUACAUGCAAGUUGAGCGCUGAAGGUUGGUACUUGUACCAACUGGAUGAGCAGCGAACGGGUGAGUAACGCGUGGGGAAUCUGCCUUUGAGCGGGGGACAACAUUUGGAAACGAAUGCUAAUACCGCAUAAAAACUUUAAACACAAGUUUUAAGUUUGAAAGAUGCAAUUGCAUCACUCAAAGAUGAUCCCGCGUUGUAUUAGCUAGUUGGUGAGGUAAAGGCUCACCAAGGCGAUGAUACAUAGCCGACCUGAGAGGGUGAUCGGCCACAUUGGGACUGAGACACGGCCCAAACUCCUACGGGAGGCAGCAGUAGGGAAUCUUCGGCAAUGGACGAAAGUCUGACCGAGCAACGCCGCGUGAGUGAAGAAGGUUUUCGGAUCGUAAAACUCUGUUGGUAGAGAAGAACGUUGGUGAGAGUGGAAAGCUCAUCAAGUGACGGUAACUACCCAGAAAGGGACGGCUAACUAUGUG